RNAcentral lists this ribosomal RNA (519 nucleotides) under uncultured Actinomycetes bacterium. RNAcentral describes it as "bacterial SSU rRNA". It matches the Rfam family "Bacterial small subunit ribosomal RNA", at positions 386 to 896 of the family's 1533-position model. Lineage: Bacteria; Bacillati; Actinomycetota; Actinomycetes. The record is from RNAcentral.
ACGCAGCAACGCCGCGUGGGGGAAGAAGGUCUUCGGAUUGUAAACCCCUUUCAGUUGGGACGAAGCUUCCAGGGUUAAUAGCGCUGUGGAGUGACGGUACCUUCAGAAGAAGCCCCGGCUAACUACGUGCCAGCAGCCGCGGUAAUACGUAGGGGGCAAGCGUUGUCCGGAAUCAUUGGGCGUAAAGCGCGUGUAGGCGGUUCGGUAAGUCCGCUGUGAAAGUCGGGGGCUCAACCCUCGGAUGCCGGUGGAUACUGUCGAGCUUGAGUACGGAAGAGGCGAGUGGAAUUCCUGGUGUAGCGGUGAAAUGCGCAGAUAUCAGGAGGAACACCAAUCGCGAAGGCAGCUCGCUGGGACGUUACUGACGCUGAGACGCGAAAGCGUGGGGAGCAAACAGGAUUAGAUACCCUGGUAGUCCACGCUGUAAACGAUGGGCACUAGGUGUGGGGGGUGUCGACUCCCUCCGUGCCGAAGCUAACGCAUUAAGUGCCCCGCCUGGGGAGUACGGCCGCAAGGCUA